This is a long non-coding RNA of Lineus longissimus, 1467 nucleotides long. RefSeq lists it as uncharacterized. The transcript is spliced from 4 exons. The record is from RefSeq and is a predicted model, not a curated record. Lineage: Eukaryota; Metazoa; Nemertea; Pilidiophora; Heteronemertea; Lineidae.
AUCUGCAGCAUGGAUUGCAGUGUGACAGCAAUAUGAGCCUGUACAAUUCUGGUGCAACAGAUUUGUCAACUACUGCCACUAAAAGCAAGACAAAUCUAAAGAUGACCAAUAUAGAAUCUACCAUCUUCGCUAACAAGAGUGUCCACUUCUCCCUGCUUGAUAAAAGUGAUCAUUGUCGUAAGAGGAAGGUGUUUACAAGCACCCCUUCAAACUCAAAAGAGACAGGAGAAGGCAGUUCCUUGGUAAAAAGAUGUGGUCAGGUUCAACCAUCCAAUUGUUGACCCAGAAGACUCACUAUAUCUUUUGGAGUCGUUUGCACGCCUUUAAUUAAGUUUUCAAGGGGCCAUUGAUAUUUUUUCUUUUGAUUUUAGAUUGGUUUGUCAUCAAUUGCUGCAGAAGCUUCUUAUGUUGAUGGAGAAUUUCCGCCUCGUCCAAGUUCGAGGGAAGUUAUCACUGAUGAAAUCAUCCAGAUGUCAAAAAGUACAGAAAAUUUGGUAGAGGUGUCGAAUGCUGGCAAAGAAGAAACUGAUGAGAUGACUGACAUCCAGUAUAAAGGGAUGAAGAAGAGGGUUGACUCUUAUAACAUCAAUUACAAAAGGCUUAAGAACGUCAAUCGCUGUGAUGAAGUAGGACGGCGCAGACCAAAGUCCUAUCCCAGCUGCUGCAUUGAAGCCUACCCUGAUAACAUCCCUCAAAUUCCAGUUCGACUUCUUGCAUAUGAAGCACCAUCAAACGAAGAAAUCUUGAGGACAAAACCAAGAGAUUUCCUCCUAGAUUUAUAGAGCAGAAGCAAAUGAUGGAGAAUGUUGCAGUAUGGGAUACAAUGGAUGGUCAGCUCUGAUCACUCUAAAGGUUAGGCUGUGGCAGGUGGGGAGAUUCUGGCUCCCUAACUUUUUGAGUCCGACACUAAGUAUAUGCAAGAGAGCUCUAUCACUCGGUGGUGUGGCCGGGGGGUCUAGAAUGGCAGAAAUAGAAAGCACAUAACACUAGAAACUUGGUUUUUACACUGAAAAUCAUCACAAAAAAGGACACAAGUUUCUUGUGUUGAUUAUGCAGAGGAUAAAUUGUUUAAUCAAUUUGGUGUAUAUUUCCUGGUCAGUAAUUUUUGCCAUUUUGGAUGUCGGAGCAGGCGGCCAAAAGCUCUCUGAGAGAAGAGAGCUUGGAGAUGAUAGUCGAGGAGAAGUUUGACUCAUGAGUCCGUCAAAUCAGAAAGUUGUAGCAAGAUGUAAAUGUGAUAUGGUUUUGUUCUGGUUAUGUUCACAUAAUCAAAAAGAGUUUUGCUGAUGGAAUUCUGAUAUUUACUUCAUUUUCAUAAUGUAUCAAGUAACUAACUUAUUUUUUGUCUGUUUGGAUUCGAAUUUGAAUAUAUUUUUCUGUUGUUAUGGUUCAUAGUCGGUUAUAGAAUAAAAAAGAAAAAAAAUGUGGCCAUGUUAAGUUCUAGUCAUCAAAGUCAGAUUCAUUGAUUGA